CAGCAGCCGCGGUAAUACGAAGGGAGCUGGCGUUGUUCGGAAUUACUGGGCGUAAAGGGCGCGUAGGCGGCCAUUCAAGUUAGAUGUGAAAGCCCUGGGCUCAACCUAGGAAUUGCAUUUGAUACUGUUUGGCUUGAGUUCGGGAGAGGUGAGUGGAAUUCCCAGUGUAGAGGUGAAAUUCGUAGAUAUUGGGAAGAACACCAGUGGCGAAGGCGGCUCACUGGACCGACACUGACGCUGAGGCGCGAAAGCGUGGGGAGCAAACAGGAUUAGAUACCCCAGUAGUCCCUGUCUCUUAUAC
Molecule: ribosomal RNA, 301 nt
Filed under: uncultured bacterium
Lineage: Bacteria
Description: partial 16S ribosomal RNA
Rfam family: Bacterial small subunit ribosomal RNA
Source: RNAcentral